GAUGAACGCUGGCGGCGUGCCUAAUACAUGCAAGUCGAGCGAACAGAUAAGGAGCUUGCUCCUUUGAAGUUAGCGGCGGACGGGUGAGUAACACGUGGGUAACCUACCUAUAAGACUGGGAUAACUUCGGGAAACCGGAGCUAAUACCGGAUCACAUUUAGAACCGCAUGGUUCUAAAGUGAAAGAUGGUUUUGCUAUCACUUUAGAUGGACCCGCGCCGUAUUAGCUAGUUGGUAAGGUAACGGCUUACCAAGGCGACGAUACGUAGCCGACCUGAGAGGGUGAUCGGCCACACUGGAACUGAGACACGGUCCAGACUCCUACGGGAGGCAGCAGUAGGGAAUCUUCCGCAAUGGGCGAAAGCCUGACGGAGCAACGCCGCGUGAGUGAUGAAGGGUUUCGGCUCGUAAAACUCUGUUAUUAGGGAAGAACAAAUGUGUAAGUAACUGUGCACAUCUUGACGGUACCUAAUCAGAAAGCCACGGCUAACUACGUG
This 496-nucleotide ribosomal RNA is filed under the name uncultured bacterium. Its description in RNAcentral is "partial 16S ribosomal RNA". It matches the Rfam family "Bacterial small subunit ribosomal RNA", at positions 28 to 507 of the family's 1533-position model. The record is from RNAcentral.